RNAcentral lists this long non-coding RNA (1046 nucleotides) under Homo sapiens (human). RNAcentral describes it as "HSALNT0389338". The record is from RNAcentral. Lineage: Eukaryota; Metazoa; Chordata; Mammalia; Primates; Hominidae.
UCUCCGCCUCGCCGCCGACAGCCCCUCCCAGCCCGCCUGCCCGCCCUCCUUCCGGCUGUUUUUGUUUGUCUGUCUUUCCCGAGAAGCACGAACAGGGAAAGGCUCAUGAGACUGUACUCUGUGAGGGUGGAAACCGGUCUGAACCAUCCCUGUAACUGCUGAGCCCCGGGACCUGCCGCACACUAGCUGAGGGUGAUGGACCCUGCCGCUGUGCACAAAGUCCACACAGAGGACUUCCCGAGGUCAGCCUCCGGAAAGCAAUAGCGACUGGGCCCAGAAACAUCCUGUUAGCACGAAUGCCUUGCUAUGAAGUCACACAAAGAGCCAAGGGGUGUGGCUGGGGAGGUUUUGAAAACUCAGCGAAUAGCAAAACGGGGGCAGGAACAUAGGUCUUUUUAUCCAUCAGGCAAAGUCCCACCUUUAUGACAUAUCUGUCCUGGGUCUGGAGCACCAUGCUUUGUGAGAUUAUAAUAGAGAGGCAUGUCGAUGAAUAAUAGGCGUGUGACAGGUUGGUGUGGGCUGGCAGGGAGCUGCCUCCCGACUGCCCUGCUCGCGCUGCUGUGGGGCUCCCCCGAUACAGGUCAUGGGUCUGACUGGAGUGCCAUUUCCUAACCACUCUUCUGUUCAUCUAGACAUGAUGCUACGUCCAUCCUAAGAGUCAUAUGUGUUCUUUGGUUAUCCUAGAAGCCACUGUGGUAUCCCAGGGCCUUGACACAGCCACUGACAGAAAAAUGAUGAAUAAAAAUAAUACGCGUGAACUGCUGUUAUUCCUGCAUUCCAGAAUUCAAACUGCACCAUAUUCAAAGGAUGCUAAGCUGACAUAAUGGAAGUCUGGAGCUGCCUGUGACCAAGGUUUCCCCUGUGUAGAAGCCUACUGUCGGAAAAAAUGAGGCCAGCACACAGAGACUGAGAGGAGUGGAGAAAGAGAGCUGGGUUGGGAGGAGAAGAAAAGGAUCUUGAUGGUGAUCACGUCCUUGGUUCUAGUGCUUAAAGUCCCCAGGGUCCUGCAACUCUCUGAGUUCCUUCUAGGACAUUCAAUUUUGGGA